This 569-nucleotide long non-coding RNA is filed under the name Junco hyemalis (dark-eyed junco). Its description in RNAcentral is "lncRNA (ENSJHYG00000010323.1)". Lineage: Eukaryota; Metazoa; Chordata; Aves; Passeriformes; Passerellidae. The record is from RNAcentral.
CAGCCCUCUGCUGUGAGCGGGUGGGAAGCCUCGCAGCCUGGCUUCAGCUCAGCUCUGUUUGAAAAUCAGAGCCCGAUUUUCAAACAGAUUUUAGGGAUGUUGCCCACAUACUUUUCUUUCUUUACCGCAGGGCUGGUAUAGUGUGUUUACAUAUUAGUUCAAUGCUGUAAAUGUUUAUCUUGGAUUCUCUAAAACAAGAACUGAAAUGAAAAUAAAAAUCCAUCGAUUCUCUCAAAAAUGUCACAGAUAAACCUUGUCCCUGCUUCAGCCCACGAAGAAGCUGCACAAGGAAAGCCUGAGCACAGGAAGAAAAUUUGUGGUUAUAGGAACUUGGUGUUAUGGAAAUAGUACCGGGACAGGAGAGUGCCACCAUGCCCUGGGAGGGUCUCUUCAAGCGGGCAUCCAUCCUGCCAGGAGCCAGAUACACCUCUUCAGACAUGAAACCGAAACCAAAUUCUUUCAGAGAUUUAUUAAGGAAAUCAAACUAUAAUUACUGGUGAGUUCCACCCUGAUGUAGCAUGAGAUGUGGCUGUCCGCUUAAAGCAAUAAAAAUCUGUUUGGUUUUGCCA